GAUGAACGCUGGCGGCGUGCCUAAUACAUGCAAGUCGAGCGAACAGAUAAGGAGCUUGCUCCUUUGACGUUAGCGGCGGACGGGUGAGUAACACGUGGGUAACCUAUCUAUAAGACUGGAAUAACUCCGGGAAACCGGGGCUAAUGCCGGAUAACAUGUUGAACCGCAUGGUUCUACAGUGAAAGGCGGCUUUGCUGUCACUUAUAGAUGGACCCGCGCCGUAUUAGCUAGUUGGUGAGGUAACGGCUCACCAAGGCAACGAUACGUAGCCGACCUGAGAGGGUGAUCGGCCACACUGGAACUGAGGCACGGUCCAGACUCCUACGGGAGGCAGCAGUAGGGAAUCUUCCGCAAUGGGCGAAAGCCUGACGGAGCAACGCCGCGUGAGUGAUGAAGGUCUUCGGAUCGUAAAACUCUGUUAUUAGGGAAGAACAAAUGCGUAAGUAACUGUGCGCGUCUUGACGGUACCUAAUCAGAAAGCCACGGCUAACUACGUG
RNAcentral lists this ribosomal RNA (497 nucleotides) under uncultured bacterium. RNAcentral's name for it is "partial 16S ribosomal RNA". It matches the Rfam family "Bacterial small subunit ribosomal RNA", at positions 28 to 507 of the family's 1533-position model. The record is from RNAcentral.